This 253-nucleotide ribosomal RNA is filed under the name uncultured bacterium. RNAcentral describes it as "partial 16S ribosomal RNA". It matches the Rfam family "Bacterial small subunit ribosomal RNA", at positions 524 to 776 of the family's 1533-position model. The record is from RNAcentral.
UACGGAGGGUGCGAGCGUUGUCCGGAAUCAUUGGGCGUAAAGGGCGCGUAGGUGGCCCGGUCAGUCGAUGGUGAAAGCGCGGGGCUCAACUCCGCGUCGGCCGUCGAUACUGCUGGGCUUGAGCACUGUAGAGGCAGGCGGAAUUCCGGGUGUAGCGGUGGAAUGCGUAGAGAUCCGGAGGAACACCAAUGGCGAAGGCAGCACUCUGGGACGUGACUGACGCUGAGACGCGAAAGCGUGGGGAGCAAACAGG